GAAUGAGAUGAUCUUGGUUUAUGAUUACAUGGCUAAUGGAACUCUUCGUGAUCACUUGUACAAAACUGAUAAUGCUCCACUUCCAUGGAAGAAACGCCUCGAGAUUUGCAUUGGCGCAGCAAAAGGAUUGCAUUAUCUCCAUACAGGUAAAAAGGAUAUCAUCAUUCAUCGAGAUGUGAAGUCAACCAACAUUUUAUUGGAUGAUAAAUGGGUUGCUAAGGUUUCAGAUUUUGGGUUAUCCAAAAUCGGUCCACUUAGUGGAUCAGGAAAAACUCAUGUUAGCACUGUUGUGAAAGGAAGCUUUGGAUAUCUAGAUCCUGAAUACUAUAAGCGACAACAGUUGACAGAAAAAUCUGAUGUG
Molecule: unclassified non-coding RNA, 361 nt
Filed under: Hevea brasiliensis (rubber tree)
Lineage: Eukaryota; Viridiplantae; Streptophyta; Magnoliopsida; Malpighiales; Euphorbiaceae
Source: RNAcentral